AGUCGAGGGGUAACAGGAGUAGCUUGCUACUUGCUGACGACCGGCGCACGGGUGCGUAACGCGUAUACAAUCUACCUUUUGCUGAGGGAUAGCCCAGAGAAAUUUGGAUUAACACCUCAUAGUAUGUUAAGAUGGCAUCAUUUUAAUAUUAAAGGUUACGGCAGAAGAUGAGUAUGCGUUCUAUUAGCUAGAUGGUGUGGUAACGGCACACCAUGGCAACGAUAGAUAGGGGCCCUGAGAGGGGGACCCCCCACACUGGUACUGAGACACGGACCAGACUCCUACGGGAGGCAGCAGUGAGGAAUAUUGGGCAAUGGAGGCAACUCUGACCCAGCCAUGCCGCGUGCAGGAAGACUGCCCUAUGGGUUGUAAACUGCUUUUAUACAGGAAGAAACACUCCCUCGUGAGGGAGCUUGACGGUACUGUAAGAAUAAGGAUCGGCUAACUCCGUGCCAGCAGCCGCGGUAAUACGGAGGAUCCAAGCGUUAUCCGGAAUCAUUGGGUUUAAAGGGUCCGUAGGUGGAUAAUUAAGUCAGAGGUGAAAUCCUGCAGCUCAACUGUAGAAUUGCCUUUGAUACUGGUUAUCCUGAGUUAUUAUGAAGUAGUUAGAAUAUGUAGUGCAGCGGUGAAAUGCAUAGAUAUUACAUAGAAUACCGAUUGCGAAGGCAGAUUACUAAUAAUAUACUGACACUGAGGGACGAAAGCGUGGGGAGCGAACAGGAUUAGAUACCCUGGUAGUCCACGCCGUAAACGAUGGAUACUAGCUGUUCGAACUUCGGUUUGAGUGGCUAAGCGAAAGUGAUAAGUAUCCCACCUGGGGAGUACGUUCGCAAGAAUGAAACUCAAAGGAAUUGACGGGGG
This 861-nucleotide ribosomal RNA is filed under the name uncultured Flavobacterium sp. RNAcentral describes it as "bacterial SSU rRNA". It matches the Rfam family "Bacterial small subunit ribosomal RNA", at positions 60 to 919 of the family's 1533-position model. The record is from RNAcentral. Lineage: Bacteria; Pseudomonadati; Bacteroidota; Flavobacteriia; Flavobacteriales; Flavobacteriaceae.